GUGGAGGAGGAGAUGGAGGAGGAGAUGGAGGAGGAGGUGGAGGAGGUGGAGGGGAGGAGGAGAUGGAGGAGGAGGAGAUGGAGGAGGAGGUGGAGGAGGAGGAGAUGGAGGAGGAGGAGAUGGAGGAGGAGGAGGUGGAGGAGGAGAUGGAGGAGGAGGAGAUGGAGGAGGAGAUGGAGGAGGAGGAGAUGGAGGAGGAGAUGGAGGAGGAGGAGAUGGAGGAGGAGAUGGAGGAGGAGGUGGAGGAGGUGGAGGAGGAGGAGAUGGAGGAGGAGAUGGAGGAGGAGGAGAUGGAGGAGGAGAUGGAGGAGGAGGAGAUGGAGCAGAGCUGAAGCAGAAGAGGAAGAGAAGAAGGAAAAGAAAGAGAAGAAAGAGACAGAGAAGGAGGAGAAGGUGAAGAAAAGCGAAGAAAGAAGAAGAGGAAUAGGAGGCAGCAGUGGAGGAAUAGGAGGCAGGCACGUCCCUGAGCAGUCUUGUGGUACCAGAAAGCAAGGAAAUGUUCAAACACGAAAAGACAGGGUGGCAGAAGUCACCCUGAAGGAGCUCUCGGUGGCUAAAUCUGGAGUGAUUCCAACAAGAAUAUAAAAUAAAAUUGGAUUGUAACCCAGAGUACAA
Molecule: long non-coding RNA, 615 nt
Filed under: Heterocephalus glaber (naked mole-rat)
Lineage: Eukaryota; Metazoa; Chordata; Mammalia; Rodentia; Bathyergidae
Description: lncRNA (ENSHGLG00000032454.1)
Source: RNAcentral